GGGGAAUAUUGGGCAAUGGGGGCAACCCUGACCCAGCAACGCCGCGUGAAGGAAGAAGGCUUUCGGGCUGUAAACUUCUUUUACCAGGGACGAAGAACGUGACGGUACCUGGAGAAAAAGCUCCGGCUAACUACGUGCCAGCAGCCGCGGUAAUACGUAGGGAGCAAGCGUUGUCCGGAUUUACUGGGUGUAAAGGGCGUGUAGGCGGAGAUGCAAGUCAGAUGUGAAAUCUGGGGGCUCAACCCCCAAACUGCAUUUGAAACUGUAUCCCUUGAGUAUCGGAGAGGCAGGCGGAAUUCCUAGUGUAGCGGUGAAAUGCGUAGAUAUUAGGAGGAACACCAGUGGCGAAGGCGGCCUGCUGGACGACAACUGACGCUGAGGCGCGAAAGCGUGGGGAGCAAACAGGAUUAGAUACCCUGGUAGUCCACGCUGUAAACGAUGAAUACUAGGUGUGGGGGGACUGACCCCUUCCGUGCCGCAGUUAACACAAUAAGUAUUCCACCUGGGGAGUACGACCGCAAGGUUGAAACUCAAAGGAAUUGACGGGGGCCCGCACAAGCAGUGGAUUAUGUGGUUUAAUUCGACGCAACGCGAAGAACCUUACCGGGAUUUGACAUCCUACUAACGAAGCAGAGAUGCAUUAGGUGCCCUUCGGGGAAAGUAGAGACAGGUGGUGCAUGGUUGUCGUCAGCUCGUGUCGUGAGAUGUUGGGUUAAGUCCCGCAACGAGCGCAACCCCUAUUGUUAGUUGCUACGCAAGAGCACUCUAGCGAGACUGCCGUUGACAAAACGGAGGAAGGCGGGGACGACGUCAAAUCAUCAUGCCCCUUAUGACCUGGGCUACACACGUACUACAAUGGAUGUUAACAGAGGGAAGCAAGACAGCGAUGUGGAGCAAACCCCUAAAAACAUUCUCAGUUCAGAUUGCAGGCUGCAACCCGCCUGCAUGAAGAUGGAAUUGCUAGUAAUCGCGGAUCAGCAUGCCGCGGUGAAUACGUUCCCG
This 1002-nucleotide ribosomal RNA is filed under the name uncultured organism. Its description in RNAcentral is "bacterial SSU rRNA". It matches the Rfam family "Bacterial small subunit ribosomal RNA", at positions 356 to 1376 of the family's 1533-position model. The record is from RNAcentral.